AUACAUACAGACACAAACACGCAAAAGGACAUACAUACACACACAUAUAGAAAUACAUACAGACAUAUACAUACUGACACAUAUACAUACUGACACACACAUACACACAGACAGACAUACACAUACAUACAAACACAAACACACACAGACAUACAUACUGAAAUACAUACAUACUCAAAUACAUACACAUACAAAAACGCAUACUGACAUACAUACACACACACACACACAUACUGAAAUACAUACAUACAAACACACAGAUAGACACAUACUGACAUACAUACACACAAACAGAUACUGACAUACAUAUAUACAUAUACACACAUA
Non-coding RNA from Pelobates cultripes (western spadefoot toad), 327 nucleotides. The record is from the annotation of a GenBank genome assembly. NCBI's taxonomy places the organism in Eukaryota, Metazoa, Chordata, Amphibia, Anura, Pelobatidae.